This is an RNA transcript of Nomia melanderi (Alkali bee), 1269 nucleotides long. It is a transcript of the gene named high affinity copper uptake protein 1, with no coding region annotated. NCBI's taxonomy places the organism in Eukaryota, Metazoa, Arthropoda, Insecta, Hymenoptera, Halictidae. The record is from RefSeq and is a predicted model, not a curated record.
AACAACGAAACUUGGAGCUUGACGAUCGUAUUAAAGUGCAUGCAGUCUGCUUGACCACAUUGAAUACAUCAUUUUACGGUAGCAAUAUGCAGAUGUCAUUUCAUAUUGGUGAAAACGAAAUUAUUUUGUUUGACGAAUGGCAUGUAGUGGAUUGGCAAGGGCUUGGAUGGUCAAUGCUUGGAAUUAUACUUUUAGUGACUAUAUAUGAAGGAUUAAAGAGUUAUCGCGAUCACCUUUACAUUGAGACUGCACGCCUUUCAAGACUUACAAGUAAAAAAUCAAGAACGACAUUACUCUUCUCCAAAGUACAUUUCAUUCAAACAGUCACACAUGUAAUACAACUGAUCAUCGGAUAUUUUCUUAUGUUAAUUUUUAUGACAUACAACUUUUGGCUGUGUUUGGCUGUUGCAAUUGGUACUGCUCUAGGAUAUUGGCUAUUUUCCUGGGGAAAGUCCAGCGGUGACAAUAUCGACUGCUGUUUGUAAUAUACGUUCUAGUAUACUAUCUACAACAAAUCGGAACUUGGACAGACAGGAAAUGUUUUAAUCAACUGAAGAUAAAAAUUUGUUAAUUGAUGUUGCCUGCUUAUUGAAAGAAGUUAUUUACACCAUAGUCAUAAUCCACCUGUGUCUCUAUAAAAUUAAUCAAUACAGAUCAAUUAUAACAUAUUUAAUAUAAACUUAGAGUGGAACAAAUUGAAGAUGAUACCUAAUAGUGAAAGUACAGAAACAAUUUAUAACAGAAGCACACCAUGUGUGUACAGAAGGCAAUUUGAAUCAGUAAAUGAUAUAUUGUUUGGAUGGGAUAAAUUUAACGCUGUGACAUUUCUUAUACUGAUCUGUCUGUUCUGUAUUUGGUGUAUAACAUUUUUCCUAAUGUAUCAUCCCCACACAUCUCAUGACGGCCAUGACGACCAUGCAGGCCACGAAGGUCAUCAUGAUUCACAUAUGUAAAUUUGUCCUUUUUGACAGUUCAACUUUCUAACAAACAUUUCAAAAAGUCAUGAGAAACACAGAUAUAUCAGGUUAAGAUAUUAUAUUAUUUCUAGAUUCACAGUGAGACAUUAAAGACUUUAGUAAUGAAGUCCCUCAUGUGUCUGUCUUUUAUAAAUUUUAUCUUCAUGUUCAAACGACUACAAAGAAUAUAAUUAUUCUUUAUUCAUUUAAUAUUGAAUAUUUUAAUAUUUAAAUUUGUACAGUUACUUGCAAUUAUUUUUCCUGGAAAAUAUACCAGAUAGUUAAUAAACAUUGGAGCAGCAAUUACUGAAAU